CCUAAGAGAUACGUGUUAUGUGCAGUGCUCACACAGAUUGUCUGAUGAAGAACGAGCAAAAGCGCGUCUGCGAAGCUGACAAAAGUCCCCUUCGUCUAGAGGCCUAGGACACCGCCCUUUCACGGCGGUAACAGGGGUUCGAAUCCCCUAGGGGACGCCAAUGCGCGGUAUGAGUGAAAGGCGUACCACUUAUCUGACGAGAGUCAGAGAAUAACUAAGCUAAUUCAAAUGAGUUAUCUUACUUAUUAUGCUCUUUAACAAUCUGGAACAAGCUGAAAAAUUGAAAACAAAUCAAUAUAUCACCGAGGUAUAUUGAUGAGUCUCUCAAAAUCUCAAACCUUAAAGUUUGUCACGCAAAGUUUAUCUUUGAAAAAGACACUUUCGGGUUGUGA
Molecule: unclassified non-coding RNA, 392 nt
Filed under: Proteus mirabilis
Lineage: Bacteria; Pseudomonadati; Pseudomonadota; Gammaproteobacteria; Enterobacterales; Morganellaceae
Description: partial 16S-23S ribosomal RNA intergenic spacer
Rfam family: tRNA (bases 85-157)
Source: RNAcentral